ACCUGGCUGGCUCAGUCAGCAGAGCAUCGAACUCUUGAUCUUGUGGUCGUGAGUUCAAGCUCACGUUGGGUA
This 72-nucleotide transfer RNA is filed under the name Ursus americanus (American black bear). It matches the Rfam family "tRNA". From Rfam's summary of the family: Transfer RNA (tRNA) molecules are approximately 80 nucleotides in length. Their secondary structure includes four short double-helical elements and three loops (D, anti-codon, and T loops). Further hydrogen bonds mediate the characteristic L-shaped molecular structure. tRNAs have two regions of fundamental functional importance: the anti-codon, which is responsible for specific mRNA codon recognition, and the 3' end, to which the tRNAs corresponding amino acid is attached (by aminoacyl-tRNA synthetases). tRNAs cope with the degeneracy of the genetic code in two manners: having more than one tRNA (with a specific anti-codon) for a particular amino acid; and 'wobble' base-pairing, i.e. permitting non-standard base-pairing at the 3rd anti-codon position. The record is from Rfam by way of RNAcentral. RNAcentral also lists the same sequence under 1 other name. Lineage: Eukaryota; Metazoa; Chordata; Mammalia; Carnivora; Ursidae.